This 524-nucleotide ribosomal RNA is filed under the name Theloderma baibungense (Baibung small treefrog). RNAcentral describes it as "partial large subunit ribosomal RNA". It matches the Rfam family "Bacterial large subunit ribosomal RNA", at positions 1927 to 2621 of the family's 2925-position model. Lineage: Eukaryota; Metazoa; Chordata; Amphibia; Anura; Rhacophoridae. The record is from RNAcentral.
ACGGCCGCGGUACCCUAACCGUGCGAAGGUAGCAUAAUCACUUGUCCUCUAAAUAAGGACUUGUAUCAACGGCACCACGAGGGUUGCACUGUCUCCUCCCUCUAAUCAGUGAAACUGAUCUCCCCGUGAAGAAGCGGGGAUAAAACUAUAAGACGAGAAGACCCCAUGGAGCUUCAAACUGAACAGCAACUUAAUUACUUAUUUCCCCAUAUAAUAAAGGUAUGCCUGUAAGUUUUGGGUUGGGGCGACCGCGGAGAACAAAAUAACCUCCACAGCGAAAAGAACUAAACCUUUAUCUAAGAGCCACCCCUCAAAGAAUUAGCACCCUAACGUAUAAUGACCCGAUUAUCGAUCAACGAACCAAGUUACCCUGGGGAUAACAGCGCAAUCUACUCCAAGAGCCCCUAUCGACGAGUAGGCUUACGACCUCGAUGUUGGAUCAGGGUAUCCCAGUGGUGCAGCCGCUACUAACGGUUCGUUUGUUCAACGAUUAAAACCCUACGUGAUCUGAGUUCAAACCGGAG